RNAcentral lists this ribosomal RNA (467 nucleotides) under uncultured bacterium. RNAcentral describes it as "partial 16S ribosomal RNA". It matches the Rfam family "Bacterial small subunit ribosomal RNA", at positions 29 to 507 of the family's 1533-position model. The record is from RNAcentral.
ACGAACGCUGGCGGCGUGCUUAACACAUGCAAGUCGAACGGAAAGGCCCUGCUUUUGUGGGGUGCUCGAGUGGCGAACGGGCGAGUAACACGUGAGUAACCUGCCCUUGACUUUGGGAUAACUUCAGGAAACUGGGGCUAAUACCGGAUAGGAGCUCCUGCUGCAUGGUGGGGGUUGGAAAGUUUCGGCGGUUGGGGAUGGACUCGCGGCUUAUCAGCUUGUUGGUGGGGUAGUGGCUUACCAAGGCUUUGACGGGUAGCCGGCCUGAGAGGGUGACCGGCCACAUUGGGACUGAGAUACGGCCCAGACUCCUACGGGAGGCAGCAGUGGGGGAUAUUGCACAAUGGGCGGAAGCCUGAUGCAGCAACGCCGCGUGCGGGAUGACGGCCUUCGGGUUGUAAACCGCUUUCGCCUGUGACGAAGCGUGAGUGACGGUAAUGGGUAAAGAAGCACCGGCUAACUACGUG